AUGGACGAUGCAACCCCGGGCUUCUCUGAAUUAUGCAUGAGGUGAAAGCCCCAUUGCUCGUGCAAAAUCAACGCCGUUCGUGUUGCAGUUCAGUCUUAGUGUUGUUUUGAAAUUCGAAAACCUUUGAAAACAAUUUAUGCCACCGAAAAUAUUA
RNAcentral lists this small nucleolar RNA (154 nucleotides) under Cicer arietinum (chickpea). RNAcentral describes it as "small nucleolar RNA snoR134". It matches the Rfam family "small nucleolar RNA snoR134", at positions 1 to 123 of the family's 149-position model. Lineage: Eukaryota; Viridiplantae; Streptophyta; Magnoliopsida; Fabales; Fabaceae. The record is from Rfam by way of RNAcentral.